AGGUGGGAUCAUACCAUCACUAAUGCACCGGAUCUGAUCAGAACUCCCCAGUUAAGCGUGAUUGGGUGAUAGUAGUACUAGGAUGGGUGACCUCCUGGGAAUUCCUCAUGUUGGACCUC
This 119-nucleotide ribosomal RNA is filed under the name Lupinus angustifolius (narrow-leaved blue lupine). The record is from RNAcentral. Lineage: Eukaryota; Viridiplantae; Streptophyta; Magnoliopsida; Fabales; Fabaceae.